Molecule: ribosomal RNA, 253 nt
Filed under: uncultured bacterium
Lineage: Bacteria
Description: partial 16S ribosomal RNA
Rfam family: Bacterial small subunit ribosomal RNA
Source: RNAcentral
UACGGAGGGGGCUAGCGUUGUUCGGAAUUACUGGGCGUAAAGCGCACGUAGGCGGCUUUGUAAGUUAGAGGUGAAAGCCCAGGGCUUAACCCUGGAAUUGCCUUUAAGACUGCAUCGCUAGAAUCGUGGAGAGGUGAGUGGAAUUCCGAGUGUAGAGGUGAAAUUCGUAGAUAUGACAUAGAACAUCGAUUGCGAAGGCAGCUCGCUACGCUAUUAUUGACACUGAGGCACGAAAGCGUGGGGAUCAAACAGG